RNAcentral lists this ribosomal RNA (484 nucleotides) under uncultured bacterium. RNAcentral describes it as "partial 16S ribosomal RNA". It matches the Rfam family "Bacterial small subunit ribosomal RNA", at positions 30 to 507 of the family's 1533-position model. The record is from RNAcentral.
AUUGAACGCUGGCGGCAGGCCUAACACAUGCAAGUCGAGCGGAUGAAGGGAGCUUGCUCCUGGAUUCAGCGGCGGACGGGUGAGUAAUGCCUAGGAAUCUGCCUGGUAGUGGGGGAUAACGUCCGGAAACGGGCGCUAAUACCGCAUACGUCCUGAGGGAGAAAGUGGGGGAUCUUCGGACCUCACGCUAUCAGAUGAGCCUAGGUCGGAUUAGCUAGUUGGUGGGGUAAAGGCCUACCAAGGCGACGAUCCGUAACUGGUCUGAGAGGAUGAUCAGUCACACUGGAACUGAGACACGGUCCAGACUCCUACGGGAGGCAGCAGUGGGGAAUAUUGGACAAUGGGCGAAAGCCUGAUCCAGCCAUGCCGCGUGUGUGAAGAAGGUCUUCGGAUUGUAAAGCACUUUAAGUUGGGAGGAAGGGCAGUAAGUUAAUACCUUGCUGUUUUGACGGUACCAACAGAAGAAGCACCGGCUAACUUCGUG